Molecule: transfer RNA, 72 nt
Filed under: Daphnia pulicaria
Lineage: Eukaryota; Metazoa; Arthropoda; Branchiopoda; Diplostraca; Daphniidae
Description: tRNA-Thr
Rfam family: tRNA
About the family: Transfer RNA (tRNA) molecules are approximately 80 nucleotides in length. Their secondary structure includes four short double-helical elements and three loops (D, anti-codon, and T loops).
Source: RNAcentral
GCCUUCUUGGCUCAGUGGUAGAGCGUUGGUCUCGUAAACCAAAGGUCGAGAGUUCAAUCCUCUCAGGAAGCA